RNAcentral lists this ribosomal RNA (433 nucleotides) under uncultured bacterium. RNAcentral describes it as "partial 16S ribosomal RNA". It matches the Rfam family "Bacterial small subunit ribosomal RNA", at positions 29 to 507 of the family's 1533-position model. The record is from RNAcentral.
AGCGAACGCUGGCGGCAGGCUUAACACAUGCAAGUCGAGCGGGCCCUUCGGGGUCAGCGGCAGACGGGUGAGUAACACGUGGGAACGUACCCUGUGGUUCGGAAUAACGCUGGGAAACUAGCGCUAAUACCGGAUACGCCCUUUUGGGGAAAGGCUUGCUGCCGAAGGAUCGGCCCGCGUCUGAUUAGCUAGUUGGUGGGGUAAUGGCCUACCAAGGCGACGAUCAGUAGCUGGUCUGAGAGGAUGAUCAGCCACACUGGGACUGAGACACGGCCCAGACUCCUACGGGAGGCAGCAGUGGGGAAUAUUGGACAAUGGGCGCAAGCCUGAUCCAGCCAUGCCGCGUGAGUGAUGAAGGCCUUAGGGUUGUAAAGCUCUUUUGUCCGGGACGAUAAUGACGGUACCGGAAGAAUAAGCCCCGGCUAACUUCGUG